UGCGCAGGCGGACUCGUAAGUCAGUAGUGAAAUCCUGCAGCUUAACCGUAGAACUGUUAUUGAUACUGGUUUUCUUGAAUAUAGUUGAGGUAGGCGGAAUGUGUAAUGUAGCGGUGAAAUGCUUAGAUAUUACACAGAACACCGAUUGCGAAGGCAGCUUACUAAGCUAUGAUUGACGCUGAGGUACGAAAGCGUGGGGAGCGAACAGGAUUAGAUACCCUGGUAGUCC
RNAcentral lists this ribosomal RNA (229 nucleotides) under uncultured bacterium. RNAcentral's name for it is "partial 16S ribosomal RNA". It matches the Rfam family "Bacterial small subunit ribosomal RNA", at positions 568 to 796 of the family's 1533-position model. The record is from RNAcentral.